Molecule: transfer RNA, 91 nt
Filed under: Betaproteobacteria bacterium
Lineage: Bacteria; Pseudomonadati; Pseudomonadota; Betaproteobacteria
Description: tRNA-Leu
Rfam family: tRNA
About the family: Transfer RNA (tRNA) molecules are approximately 80 nucleotides in length. Their secondary structure includes four short double-helical elements and three loops (D, anti-codon, and T loops).
Source: RNAcentral
GCCUGAGUGGUGAAAUAGGUAGACACAACGGACUUAAAAUCCGUCGGCGGGUCAAACUGCCGUACCGGUUCGAUUCCGGUCUCAGGCACCA